This 517-nucleotide ribosomal RNA is filed under the name uncultured bacterium. RNAcentral's name for it is "partial 16S ribosomal RNA". It matches the Rfam family "Bacterial small subunit ribosomal RNA", at positions 29 to 523 of the family's 1533-position model. The record is from RNAcentral.
AACGAACGCUGGCGGCGUGGAUAAGACAUGCAAGUCGAACGGGACUUUUCUUUGUAGCAAUACAAAGGAAAGUCUAGUGGCGAACGAGUGCGUAACACGUGAGCAACCUGCCGUGAAGUGGGGGAUAGCUCGCCGAAAGGCGAAUUAAUACCGCAUGUGGCCAAGAAGGACAUCCUUCUGACGCCAAAGCCGGGGCAACCUGGCGCUUCUCGAGGGGCUCGCGGCCUAUCAGCUUGUUGGUGAGGUAACGGCUCACCAAGGCUAUGACGGGUAGCUGGUCUGAGAGGACGACCAGCCACACUGGAACUGAGACACGGUCCAGACACCUACGGGUGGCAGCAGUCGAGAAUUUUUCACAAUGGGGGAAACCCUGAUGGAGCGACGCCGCGUGGAGGAUGAAGGUUUUCGGAUUGUAAACUCCUGUCAUUAGAGAACAAGGCACACGGCUUAACUGGCCGUGUGUUGAUAGUAUCUGAAGAGGAAGAGACGGCUAACUCUGUGCCAGCAGCCGCAGUAA